GUCGGGAUCCACCACAGCCAUUCGAUCAUACCUCAAAUGGAAUCUAGACCAUCGAUCAGCAUGUUUAAUCUCCUUAACACAGUCAAAAAUGUUCUCAAUCGUUGGAUCAUCAUCGGAUUGAAUUCUGACCGUUGGAUCACGCAAAACCUCUCUUCUCAACCAACAAUGAACAGCAGCCGUCGAAUCUCGUUCGGAAUGAAUUUAGACCG
This 209-nucleotide long non-coding RNA is filed under the name Elaeis guineensis (African oil palm). RNAcentral's name for it is "long non-coding RNA (EGUI_LNC013197)". Lineage: Eukaryota; Viridiplantae; Streptophyta; Magnoliopsida; Arecales; Arecaceae. The record is from RNAcentral.